RNAcentral lists this ribosomal RNA (1502 nucleotides) under Pseudomonas aeruginosa. RNAcentral describes it as "partial 16S ribosomal RNA". It matches the Rfam family "Bacterial small subunit ribosomal RNA". Lineage: Bacteria; Pseudomonadati; Pseudomonadota; Gammaproteobacteria; Pseudomonadales; Pseudomonadaceae. The record is from RNAcentral.
CAGAGUUUGAUCCUGGUCAGAACGAACGCUGGCGGCAGGCCUAGCACAUGCAAGUCGAGCGGAUGAAGGGAGCUUGCUCCUGGAUUCAGCGGCGGACGGGUGAGUAAUGCCUAGGAAUCUGCCUGGUAGUGGGGGAUAACGUCCGGAAACGGGCGCUAAUACCGCAUACGUCCUGAGGGAGAAAGUGGGGGAUCUUCGGACCUCACGCUAUCAGAUGAGCCUAGGUCGGAUUAGCUAGUUGGUGGGGUAAAGGCCUACCAAGGCGACGAUCCGUAACUGGUCUGAGAGGAUGAUCAGUCACACUGGAACUGAGACACGGUCCAGACUCCUACGGGAGGCAGCAGUGGGGAAUAUUGGACAAUGGGCGAAAGCCUGAUCCAGCCAUGCCGCGUGUGUGAAGAAGGUCUUCGGAUUGUAAAGCACUUUAAGUUGGGAGGAAGGGCAGUAAGUUAAUACCUUGCUGUUUUGACGUUACCAACAGAAUAAGCACCGGCUAACUUCGUGCCAGCAGCCGCGGUAAUACGAAGGGUGCAAGCGUUAAUCGGAAUUACUGAGCGUAAAGCGCGCGUAGGUGGUUCAGCAAGUUGGAUGUGAAAUCCCCGGGCUCAACCUGGGAACUGCAUCCAAAACUACUGAGCUAGAGUACGGUAGAGGGUGGUGGAAUUUCCUGUGUAGCGGUGAAAUGCGUAGAUAUAGGAAGGAACACCAGUGGCGAAGGCGACCACCUGGACUGAUACUGACACUGAGGUGCGAAAGCGUGGAGAGCAAACAGGAUUAGAUACCCUGGUAGUCCACGCCGUAAACGAUGUCGACUAGCCGUUGGGAUCCUUGAGAUCUUAGUGGCGCAGCUAACGCGAUAAGUCGACCGCCUGGGGAGUACGGCCGCAAGGUUAAAACUCAAAUGAAUUGACGGGGGCCCGCACAAGCGGUGGAGCAUGUGGUUUAAUUCGAAGCAACGCGAAGAACCUUACCUGGCCUUGACUUGCUGAGAACUUUCCAGAGAUGGAUUGGUGCCUUCGGGAACUCAGACACAGGUGCUGCAUGGCUGUCGUCAGCUCGUGUCGUGAGAUGUUGGGUUAAGUCCCGUAACGAGCGCAACCCUUGUCCUUAGUUACCAGCACCUCGGGUGGGCACUCUAAGGAGACUGCCGGUGACAAACCGGAGGAAGGUGGGGAUGACGUCAAGUCAUCAUGGCCCUUACGGCCAGGGCUACACACGUGCUACAAUGGUCGGUACAAAGGGUUGCCAAGCCGCGAGGUGGAGCUAAUCCCAUAAAACCGAUCGUAGUCCGGAUCGCAGUCUGCAACUCGACUGCGUGAAGUCGGAAUCGCUAGUAAUCGUGAAUCGGAAUGUCACGGUGAAUACGUUCCCGGGCCUUGUACACACCGCCCGUCACACCAUGGGAGUGGGUUGCUCCAGAAGUAGCUAGUCUAACCGCAAGGGGGACGGUUACCACGGAGUGAUUCAUGACUGGGGUGAAGUCGUAACAAGGUAGCCGUAGG